Molecule: ribosomal RNA, 391 nt
Filed under: uncultured bacterium
Lineage: Bacteria
Description: bacterial SSU rRNA
Rfam family: Bacterial small subunit ribosomal RNA
Source: RNAcentral
GAUGAACGCUAGCGGCAGGCUUAACACAUGCAAGUCGAGGGGCAGCGUGAGGGUUAGCAAUAACCCUUGACGGCGACCGGCGCAAGGGUGCGUAACGCGUGAGCAACUUGCCCUUAUCAGGGGGGAUAACCGGUGGAAACGCCGACUAAUACCCCAUGGCAUCACAAUGAGGCAUCUUUUUGUGAUUAAAGAAUUUCGGAUAAGGAUAGGCUCGCGUGACAUUAGCUAGACGGCGGGGUAACGGCCCACCGUGGCGACGAUGUCUAGGGGUUCUGAGAGGAAGGUCCCCCACACUGGAACUGAGACACGGUCCAGACUCCUACGGGAGGCAGCAGUGAGGAAUAUUGGUCAAUGGUCUGACGACUGAACCAGCCAUGCCGCGUGAAGGUCA